GACGAACGCUGGCGGCGUGCCUAAUACAUGCAAGUUGAGCGAUGAAGAUUGGUGCUUGCACCAAUUUGAAGAGCAGCGAACGGGUGAGUAACGCGUGGGGAAUCUGCCUUUGAGCGGGGGACAACAUUUGGAAACGAAUGCUAAUACCGCAUAACAACUUUAAACAUAAGUUUUAAGUUUGAAAGAUGCAAUUGCAUCACUCAAAGAUGAUCCCGCGUUGUAUUAGCUAGUUGGUGAGGUAAAGGCUCACCAAGGCGAUGAUACAUAGCCGACCUGAGAGGGUGAUCGGCCACAUUGGGACUGAGACACAGCCCAAACUCCUACGGGAGGCAGCAGUAGGGAAUCUUCGGCAAUGGACGAAAGUCUGACCGAGCAACGCCGCGUGAGUGAAGAAGGGUGUCGGAUCGUAAAACUCUGUUGGUAGAGAAGAACGUUGGUGAGAGUGGAAAGCUCAUCAAGUGACGGUAACUACCCAGAAAGGGACGGCUAACUACGUG
RNAcentral lists this ribosomal RNA (497 nucleotides) under uncultured bacterium. RNAcentral's name for it is "partial 16S ribosomal RNA". It matches the Rfam family "Bacterial small subunit ribosomal RNA", at positions 28 to 507 of the family's 1533-position model. The record is from RNAcentral.